Molecule: ribosomal RNA, 260 nt
Filed under: uncultured bacterium
Lineage: Bacteria
Description: partial 16S ribosomal RNA
Rfam family: Bacterial small subunit ribosomal RNA
Source: RNAcentral
UACGUAGGGGGCAAGCGUUGUCCGGAAUCAUUGGGCGUAAAGCGCGCGUAGGCGGCCUUAUAAGUCCGUUGUGAAAGUCAAAGGCUCAACCUUUGAAAGCCGAUGGAUACUGUAAGGCUAGAGUCCGGAAGAGGCGAGUGGAAUUCCUGGUGUAGCGGUGGAAUGCGCAGAUAGUCAGGAGGAACACCGGUGGCGAAGGCGGGAUCUCUGGGCCGAGUGACUGACGCUGGAGGAGCGAAAGCGUGGGGAGGCGAACAGGA